RNAcentral lists this microRNA precursor (140 nucleotides) under Haemonchus contortus (barber pole worm). RNAcentral's name for it is "microRNA hco-mir-5963 precursor". The record is from miRBase by way of RNAcentral. Lineage: Eukaryota; Metazoa; Nematoda; Chromadorea; Rhabditida; Trichostrongylidae.
UUUAAAAAAAACUCCGUUUCACUUCAUUUAUUAGAAAUGAUGGCGUUGCGAGCUUUUGAUGGCCGGCCCACGCCAAUAAGCCUGUCCAAAAGCUAUGGCAGAGGGGCGACCAUCGAAUUUUCAAAGUGUUCCCCUCAACA